Molecule: ribosomal RNA, 507 nt
Filed under: uncultured bacterium
Lineage: Bacteria
Description: bacterial SSU rRNA
Rfam family: Bacterial small subunit ribosomal RNA
Source: RNAcentral
GAUAAACGCUGGCGGCGUGCCUAACACAUGCAAGUCGAACGAAGCUCCCGGACUUGAGUUUUUCGGACAAGGGAAAGGGAUGACUUAGUGGCGGACGGGUGAGUAAUGCGUGAGCAACCUGCCUUUCAGAGGGGGACAACAGUUGGAAACGACUGCUAAUACCGCAUAAUGUAUUCGAGUGGCAUCACUUGGAUACCAAAGAUUUUAUCGCUGAAAGAUGGGCUCACGUCUGAUUAGCUAGUUGGUGAGGUAAUGGCUCACCAAGGCUGCGAUCAGUAGCCGGACUGAGAGGUCGAACGGCCACAUUGGGACUGAGAUACGGCCCAGACUCCUACGGGAGGCAGCAGUGGGGAAUAUUGGGCAAUGGGCGCAAGCCUGACCCAGCAACGCCGCGUGAAGGAAGAAGGCUUUCGGGUUGUAAACUUCUUUUGGCUAGGGACGAAACAAAUGACGGUACCUGCAGAAUAAGCUCCGGCUAACUACGUGUCCACGCAGCCGGGUAAACCG